This 612-nucleotide ribosomal RNA is filed under the name Orcaella heinsohni (Australian snubfin dolphin). RNAcentral describes it as "partial 16S ribosomal RNA". It matches the Rfam family "Bacterial large subunit ribosomal RNA", at positions 1987 to 2854 of the family's 2925-position model. Lineage: Eukaryota; Metazoa; Chordata; Mammalia; Artiodactyla; Delphinidae. The record is from RNAcentral.
CUUGUAUGAAUGGCCACACGAGGGUUUUACUGUCUCUUACUCUUAAUCAGUGAAAUUGACCUCCCCGUGAAGAGGCGGGGAUAACACAAUAAGACGAGAAGACCCUAUGGAGCUUUAAUUAAUCAACUCAAAAAGCAUAAAAGAAUACCACUAAGGGAUAACAAAGCUUUAUAUGAGCUGACAAUUUCGGUUGGGGUGACCUCGGAGUAUAAAAAACCCUCCGAGUGAUUAAAACUUAGGCCUACUAGCCAAAGUAUAGUAUCACUUAUUGAUCCAAAAUUUUGAUCAACGGAACAAGUUACCCUAGGGAUAACAGCGCAAUCCUAUUCUAGAGUCCAUAUCGACAAUAGGGUUUACGACCUCGAUGUUGGAUCAGGACAUCCUAAUGGUGCAGCAGCUAUCAAGGGUUCGUUUGUUCAACGAUUAAAGUCCUACGUGAUCUGAGUUCAGACCGGAGCAAUCCAGGUCGGUUUCUAUCUAUUACGCAUUUCUCCCAGUACGAAAGGACAAGAGAAAUAAGGCCAACUUCAAAAAAGCGCCUUCAAACAAUUAGUGAUCCAGUCUCAACCUAAUAAUCUAGCGCAAACAUACCCUGCCCAAGAUCAGGGCUUU